Molecule: long non-coding RNA, 1075 nt
Organism: Harpegnathos saltator (Jerdon's jumping ant)
Lineage: Eukaryota; Metazoa; Arthropoda; Insecta; Hymenoptera; Formicidae
Exons: 3
Source: RefSeq, a predicted model, not a curated record
CACCGCAUGCAUGGAGUCUUAGCUUUAGGUCCAUGGUUUAUACGAUAAAUGACAUGUACAGGUUAUGGUCCCCUUAGACACAUUUGUGUUGACAAAAUAUUUAUCUAUCAUUAUUUAUUCAAAAGACACGGUAGUGUCCCAAGUGCACAUAAAAGCAAAGCGAUUUUAUAUAUGAGAUACUCAGAUCCAUUUUUUGACUUAGGUACGCAUUAAUUAAUACUUGUCUGCCUGAAACUUGUCUCAUUAUAAAAUACUGAGAUGAUUAUUUAAAGUUUGAUUUAAAUAAAUAUUUCAGUUAAAUGACACGUAUGUGACAUUCAUAUAUUUGUAAUAGAGGUUCGACUGAAGAUCUCUUAUUUAACUCUGAAUUUAAAUCUGAGUGAGAGACAAGUUUGAAAUUAUAACUAUUAAUACAAGCCUUAGAGUUAAAUUAGAGUUAAAUCAGAGUUUUUCAGUUGAUCACAUAAUAUGUAUAAUAUAUAUUUAAGGCUUGUUUUAAUAGUCAUGACUUCAAACUUAUCUGUAGUAAGAUACUCAAAUUCAAAUUCAGAGUUAAAUAAGAGAUCUUCAAUCAUAGCGCUAUUGCAGAUAUAUGAAUAUCACAUAUAUAUCAUUUAACUGAAACAUUUGAAUCGAACUUUGAAUAAUCAUCUGAGUAUUUUAUAAUGAGACAAGUUUCAGAUGACAAGUAUUAAUUAAUGCAUACCUAAGUCAAAUGAGAUCUAUCUUACACUUGAUUUUUACAAUAAGUUUAUAUACUUACAUACAAGAGGACAUUACAUCCAGUAUAUCGAGAAUUGGAAUGCCAAUUUUUUUAGUGAUUCUAGAGGCCAAAAAAUAAUGAAAGAAUAUUUCAAGUUUGCAGUAGACGACAAUAUACACAAAUGAAAGUAUGUUUUCGUGAAACCCUUGUUUAUUCAUUGUAUUCUCAUUUAAUAACUUGUAAAUGACGUAUUAAUUCACAAGUAUCACAAGUAUUUGUUUAAUCAAUGGGACAUGAAUGUAAGUGACAUGUGUGCCAAUAAUUGAACACAUGUUUAAUCAAUGGGUCAUUAUAAUUAUAAUUUUGACUAUA